Molecule: ribosomal RNA, 305 nt
Filed under: uncultured bacterium
Lineage: Bacteria
Description: bacterial SSU rRNA
Rfam family: Bacterial small subunit ribosomal RNA
Source: RNAcentral
UCCUACGGGGGGCAGCAGUGAGGAAUAUUGGUCAAUGGGCUUACGCCUGAACCAGCCAAGUCGCGUGAGGGAAGACUGCCCUAUGGGUUGUAAACCUCUUUUGUCAGGGAGCAAUUGGCGCUACGUGUAGCGUUAUCGAGAGUACCUGAAGAAAAAGCAUCGGCUAACUCCGUGCCAGCAGCCGCGGUAAUACGGAGGAUGCGAGCGUUAUCCGGAUUUAUUGGGUUUAAAGGGUGCGUAGGCGGAAUGCCAAGUCAGCGGUAAAAUCGCGGGGCUCAACCUCGGUCCGCCGUUGAAACUGGCGU